GCACCGGCCAGCUAGCCCCUUUGUGCGGCGGGGGCUGCGGAGUGCUCCCUCCAAGACCGGUUGCACCCCGCUUUCCUGGCCAGGACUCUGGGCGCGGUUGGAGGCAUCUGUCCACCCAUGUGGUUCCAGACACGUUCAUGUGGCCACCAUGACCCCGUCGGCAUCACAGGGGUAACCAAGAGAGCAGCAAGUUCCUGGGACAGAGGAGACAGAAGGGAAUUUCCAGGUUCUUCAGGACGUUCACAACCACACUGAGAAGCAUCUUUGCAGAUAAGUAUUUAAACUUACCAGCCCAUAGCCUACCAGCCUGCCCUCUUCUGGUCUGUGCAGGAAAGUGUAGUAUCCUAGAAUGCCAAAGUGGGAGGGGAAAUGGGUGAUGUAGCUCAUUCUCUUUUCUACCUCUAUGGAAGAAAGAAAGAGCCUGUCCCCAUUUUGUGGGGUCCCAGAAAGGGUGAUUUUCACACUUCACAUUUGGCGUUAGGGCUAGUAUUUCACAAACAUUACCGUCUGGAACUUUUGAAGGCUGAGUUAAAUGACUUCAUCUUGUGUACUUGUAGAACUGCUAUUAGAAGGAGGCUGGGGACUCCCUGAUGAUGUGAACCAGCCCUUCUCUUCUCAGUUUCAGCACUUUGUGAUCAUAUUUAUAAACCUUGGACAGGGCUCCUUGGCCUUAGAGUUAAGUGAAGAGUUAACACUGUGACUUUAGAUGCAUUUUUCUCAGUGUAAGUGUCUGAGCUCAUCUCCAGUUCUGGACUCGUGCCCCCACUCCCGGGUGCUGACAGCAAGCUCUGAAGAUAUGCUGAGAGAGCUCCCUGACUCUCCUGACUCAGGUCUGCCAGUUGAUGAAGACAGCACAGUUGUUACCAAAAACAAAACCUGGCAGAUGGUCCUAGGUCAGGAUUAGUGGUCAUUCUCUGGUCUUCUCCAGACUGGUGACACAGGGUGGUCUUAAAAGAGUCCUAGUCCAGCCUCUGGCUCCCCGAAUUUCCUCUGGUGCAUGGGGCAUCAGGAAAGGGCAGGGGAGAAGGAGGGGGAGCAGAAAAAUAACUGAGGCUGGGCAGAAGGGUCCCUUCCAUUUCCCAUCCAUUGCUUCAAACAAUGGGUGAUUACCGUGCACCUUGAGUGAAUGUCAAGGCAGGAAGGGUUCCAGGGCCACCCAGUGUGGCAGGAGCAGAGCUGGGAUCAGAAUUCUGGAUUCCUGACUCUCCGUUCAGCUGCUAUUCAGCUAUCACCAAGCUGCUGAGUUUGUCCUACUUUCUCCUGGGUCACAUUCUGCUGUUGUUGGGAAACAGGGAGUGAGUGAAGGGAACCUGGGAACCCUUCUCCCCUCACCUUUUAAGGAUGUUCUGGGGUGGAAUAAAGAGAGGUGGAGGGUGGGGUGCCUGGGCCCAGCCUCCCUGGCUCCUGGUCCUUCUUUCUUCAGCAGGGAGUUCUGGCAAGGCCUGGGCCUGGGGAGGGGGCCUGGGUGCAGUUUUCUCCUGCGGUGUGGUUGGCUCUUUUGUCUUCCAGGAUGGGCCUGUGGGGUCUGUGUGGGGAAGGAAGGAGCUGGGAGCCUGGGCUGCCUGUGUGUCGGCUGGAUGCUGCCAGCACCGGCAUGGACCAAGCAACUUCUCUGAGCCAGAUGCUGGGGACGCAGAGGUGAACCCAGAGACAUGAUCCCAUCUGCUCAGAUCUUCAUGUCAGAACACGCUUUAUUACAGUCUCGGCAAGGGGGUGGCUCCAUCUGGGCCGCAUCUCCAGGACUCCUGGCCUGGACUUCUCUUUGGACCUCGGGUGACCUUGGAUUCUGGCCACAGUGACUUAGCGGUCAGACUCCGGUGGUUUUCUAGCCCGCUGGGUGACUCCCUGAAGAUCUCAUCCUCUUCACACCUGUUGGGAUGGAGCCUCCCAUGGAUAGGAACUCUUCCUGGUUGAUGCUCAGCAGAUGACUGAUCUGGCUCUGGAGGACAGCUCCAGGGGUAUGAGGGAGGCCUGGCAGCCCACUACUCCCUCCUCACCUGCUCGGGCCCUGCCUGCUGGGCCCUAUUGUCUGGGUCUGGGGGCCCUUUCCUGCCCCAUGUGAACUUGAUUCCUCCUCGCGUUUCUGCCGGUGACCAGACAGAGCCUGGCCUGGGCCAAGUCCCCACUGACCACACUUUCCCCAAGGCUGGGUCUCAAAGGACCCUACAGGAUGGGGACAGGAACAAGGAUGGGAGUCGGGGAGGGGCUGUCAGGCAGAGGGCAGAUGCAGCUCCUCGGGUGCCGCUGGCUGGAGUCCUUUGUCUCCAUUUGCUCAGUGCGUAAUUGUCAUUUUGUGGGGGACUUCCUUGGUGGGGCUUUUCCAUGCUUUUCCUCUCCCUGAUGGUUACAAAGAGGAGACAGUCAGGAUCUGGGAGGAGCUGGAGCCUUCCCCCUGUGCUGUUGAACUCUGGGAGGGGCAGCCAGAGGGGCUGAGAGUGCACCAUCCUGAAAAGAGAGGGUCUUUAAGAGAUAAGAUUUAGGCUAGGGAAAUUCACUAGAAAGAGACAGGUGGCCCUGGGUUUUUUUUCCUGCCAUCCAAAGGGAACCAGUCUUACCCAAAGGCUUAAGGGGUCACCUUAGCCCAGUCUCAGGACACUCUUCUCCAAUCAGAUCGCUGCUUCUAGUUGCACUGCUCCUGGAUUCUGUUCUUGGGGAACAGAAGGUGGCAGGACAGGCCCCACAAUCUGCAAUUCCAGCUCCCUCCAGAGGAGACAGUCCCAGCGUUUGCAAGAGAGCAGCUUGUGGCCUCCCUUAGGCAAGUUUAAAAGCCAGAUGUCCUUUUUCCCAGAAUGCGGAGUGGUGUGUACUAUUCAUCAGCUUGGGCUGCCACAGCACCAUGCCAGACUGGAUGGCUUAAACAUCAGGAAUUUAUUUUCUGCCAGUUCUGGAGGCUGGAAAGUCCAGAUCAAGGUGUUAAGACUUGGUUUCUGGUGAGGCCUCUCUCCUUGGCUUGCAGGUGGCACCUUCUCACUAUGUCCUCACAUGGCCUUUUCUCUGUGGAGAGGGACAGAGAGCAUGAGCAGGCUCUGGUGUCUCCUCCUCUUCUUAUAAAGACACUAAUAUCACCAUAUUAGGGCUUAAACCUAUGACCUCAUUUAACCUUAACCCCUUAAAGGUCCCAUCUCCAAAAACAGUCACAUAGCAGGCUACUGCUUCAACAUAUGCAUUUGGGGGAGGGGACACCAUUCAGUUCUUAACAGGGUGGUCACCGCAAACAUGGAAAGUCAGAGCCUUCUCCCCUUCAGAAUUCCCGCCCCCACCCAGGGAUGGGGAGGAGGAGCAGAGAGGUAUGGGAAGCAGACACGGAGAGUGGCAGGUACCAUGCUGGGGUGGCUCAGGAGUGCUUCGGAGGACAUAUGGAACUGGCAGGGCUCAGUGCAGGGAGGCGGAGGCCCUGGGAGAGCCGUGUCCUGAGAAGGGCCUGGGCUACAACCCUGGGCAAGUUACUUCACCUCUGAGCCUCCGAUGCUCUGUGAAAUGGAAGGAAUGUGCUUGCCUGUCAGGUGCAGGGAGAAUUCAGUGAGAUUGUGUGCCUAGCACAGUGCCUGACUCCCAGUAGGUGCUCAGCAAAUGCUCCCAUCCAUCUGGGAGUAUAGACUUAGGGUUUAUCUAUUUUUUUUUUUUUUUGGCUCUCUGGACUUUAAAACUCAGCAUCUUCUGAACCAGAGGCAUUUCUGAUUAGCCCUUCCCUACCUAUUUUCCUAGUAUCACUCUUUAAUCAGCUUGGGGAGGUGGCAGCAUUUCAUGGCCUCCGUAGUAACUCACAAUGCUUCCUGGGGUAUUUAAAUUCUACUCUCUCAUCAGCACUGAGCACCUACUUUGGGCCCUUUCCCGUGCUAGCCAUUUGGGGGAAAUAUAGGUGAAGAGUGGCUGGGGUUUGAACCUUUAGGAUUUCACAGCCAUGCUGGAUGGGAUAAAACCAGCUCACAUGGAGAAUCAGAGAAUGGGACAGUGCCACAAAACAGUCUACUGAGGCACAAGUUCUGAGUGCCUGGGAAGUGGUAGAGAGACCCCAGAGAGGGCUGCUGCAGUCUGGAACAGCUUCCUAGCAAGCUGUACCAAACAGGGCCUUGAAGGAUGAGAAAGAUCUGGCUGAGAUGAUACCCGACCCUCUAGGGAAAUUCUUAAAGUAACUUCUAGGAAAUGUCAUUGCUCCUUAAAAAAAAAAAAAAAAAAAAAAAAGCAGGUUCUAAUUCAAAUUCCGCUGCACUACUGAAGUAGUGCAGGACUUAUCAGAACCUUUAAAAUGCUAAUGGCAAUUUCAAAUACUCAGGGACAGGGCAUAGGAUGAAGUGUUCCUUGACUUUUAUGGCCGUAGAAUCUUUUUCUCAUGGAACAUCGUUUAGAACUGUGGGAGAUGCUAGGCUGGGGUUUCUAUGGGAAAAGUACAGCAGUGAUAGAAGAUGGCAUAAUUAGGGUACACUUAGGUGCUUUGUAGCAUUGGCUGAAAAGGAAGCAGACCGGGUGGGCGUGGGGGAGUCUCAACUUGGUUCCAGGAGCCAGGCCAGCUUGAUGCGUUUUUUUUUUUUCUAAUGGUGGGAGGGCAGGCCAAUAGUUGGAGAAACUAGAGGCCUGACAGUCGGUGAUGGAAGAGAUGUCUACUAAGCACGGUUGUCAGAUCUUUUGCGGAGAGAUGCGGGUGUGCGUGUGUCUGUCAGAGUGUAACAGGAUCCAGCCCUCUGGGAAGGGGCUGACCAGAACCAGGCAGGGGGUUUCUGUCUAGGACAAGUAGGGUCCAUUUUCAGGGGAGCUGAAAUAUUUGCAGGGGGUGCUCUGAGACCCACAGCCAAUAAAUAGGGAAGCAACAUGCUUUUGGGCAGGGUCCAUGUGGUUAGGGUUGAUUUUGAUGGGGCUGGGGGGCUUAGAGUUAGACCCCCUGCCCUGGUCAGGCCCCACUCCCUGGCUGGUGGGGGCGGGAGGCCUCUGAAGCUGCAGCUGGAGGGGCCGGGGCAGUGUUGCAUGGUGUGAUUAACCUACUAACCCAGGGCUCAGCCGGGACGCUGUGGCGUGUGACGAGGUGCCUGGCCUUCUGCCAACCAACUAACCCACUAACCAGGCCCGAGCAUGCCCUACUAACCACCCCCCCGCAGCCAGAUCCUACUAACUGUGCAGCUCAUGGGCCUUUCAAGGGGCUGGGAUAUGGGGGCAGCCAAGGCUCCAGAAGGCUCUGCCUAUGGGCUGGGAUCUUUGUGCAGACCCACGUUCCAGGACAGAGAAUGCAAAUAAGACUCACCAACUCUGCCACUUCCUGUUGAGUGAGUUUGAGUAAGUCACCUCACUUCUCUCAACCUCAGUUUCCUCAGUGGUAGAAUGCGAGUUCUGAUACCUUACAGGUUGCAGUGAGGAUUCCCGUCAAUAUAAGGGUCUCAGCACAUGGCAGACACCUAAAAAAAAAAAAAGUAUGAGGAUGGAGGAAGGCCCCUCAAACCUGGUUGAACACGUCUGCUGCCUAGGCCCUGGCCUCUCUGGGUGUUCUGCACACAGAUCCUUCUGCCUGGGGCAAGACACUUGGCUUUGAAUCCAUGUCACUUCCCCACAUUCUUCCUCCGUCUCAGCUUUCUUUUCUGUAGGCAGCUCUUUUGUUCGAUUACUAACCCGUCUAACCCCUGGGGUGCCUCAACUGCACCCCGAUCAUCCCUUAACAAACUAACGGACCUGCGUGCGUUCUUCCUUUUCUCUUAGCGACUCCUGUGUGUGUCUGCUGAGGUGCCCUGUCCGCUGGUGCUGUGCUCUGACUUACUAACCCAGCCCCUACUAACCCUGUUUUCUCUUCUUACUAACCCCAGCCCUGCCGAGCUCUGGGCUCCCCCCGGGGGCUGGUCCCCCUCCUUUUGGCAAGCAGAUGACCUGGGGCUACUGGCCCUGUAGACAGAUGUCCCACUUUGCUGCCCCAUAUUGGCUGUAAGAUCAGAGUCCACUGGGCCAGGUCUAAGGCAGGGGAUGGCCCUAUUAACAAGACUCAGAGGAGGAAGAGGUGGUCCUGUGGAUGUGGGAGGCUGGACUCUGAGUAUGACAUCUCUCCUAUGUGCAGAAGUCUGGUUGCCACUGGGAGUAGGUGGGACCAGGGAAAUCUCUGGGACGUGAGUGUGGAGGCCUGUUGGUCUAGACUCUAGACUGUGGAGCUCUGAGCUUUUGUGUCCUCUGGAAGGAAGCUGGGGAAGAAUCCUCUCCAUUGUUAAGUGACGGGGAUAGAAGCUGUCCUGCACAGGAAGUCACGAGGGGGGCGUAUCCCACGAGGAAGGCAGGAGGGGGCGUGCCCCUCACCGGAAAUUAGCAGAGGGGCGUGUCCCACACCGGAAGUCAGAAAGCGGAGCCUUUCUUACACCGGAAGUCAAUGAAGCGGGUCUUUCCUACGCUAAAAACCACUGAGUGGAGUAUUUAGUACACAGGAAGUCGGCCAGAGAAACAUUUCUCAUAUUUGAAGGCCGGAAAGAGGGACAUUUCUGACACCGGAAGUCAGUGAGAGGACUCUUUCCCACACAGGAAGUCAGCUAGAGAGCCGUCUCCCCUCUCUGGAGCCGAGAGAGGCCGGUUUCCCCCACCAACACUGAAGAUUCUGCUCUCAGGGUGUUGAUUGACGUCUGGAAGGCAGAGACUCGUGGAUUAGCAAGCAUGUGUAAGAAAGUGCUCUGGAUGCCACAGGGUGGUAAUUUGUGCAUGGAAAAUGGCUGGGG
This 6674-nucleotide long non-coding RNA is filed under the name Homo sapiens (human). RNAcentral's name for it is "HSALNT0405343". The stretch from base 4958 to 5106 matches the Rfam family "Myocardial infarction associated transcript exon 5 conserved region 1". Lineage: Eukaryota; Metazoa; Chordata; Mammalia; Primates; Hominidae. The record is from RNAcentral.